Acipenser ruthenus (sterlet) is the source of this 1891-nucleotide long non-coding RNA. RefSeq lists it as uncharacterized. The record is from RefSeq and is a predicted model, not a curated record. Lineage: Eukaryota; Metazoa; Chordata; Actinopteri; Acipenseriformes; Acipenseridae. The transcript has 6 exons.
UAUACCGUGCGUGUGACAAGUCGAGUCCACGGAGAAGCACGUUUUGCACAACUAUGUUGACGUUUCUGUGCUAACAACAUUCAACAGAAUGAAAAAGUUGACUUCUGAUGUCAAGCAAGCACUGACAAAUUCAGUGGUAGUGGAGAUUCUGAACAAUCCACCAGAAGAUGCCAGAAGAAAACCUGGAAUCUUCCCGAAGACAGUAAAGAGAAAACCCGUUGCUCUCAACACCAGUGAGUGCAGUGUUGUAGGAAUGAAUGGUUGGAUUUGAUGCAGGAGUACUUAACACUACAGAAAUGUAGCAUGUCCUCUUUGAAGAAAUCCUUGUCCGAGAUUAAACAGAUGACUGAAGGGAAAAUAGAGGCUGAAUCAUGUCAACCAACCGAUAAUACAAUCAAAGCAAACAACAAAAAAGCCCAGCCCCCUGAGAAGGCGGCCCCCCAAGGACCUCAGUUUGUGAGUGGAGCCGUAGUCAAAAUCACCCACGAUGAUCCCCUACCAGGCAGGAAAUGCAUCAAGGAUGCUUUGUCAGAAGUGGCUGCUGUGGUUUAUGUGGACAUGUUGGGGGGAGAUGCAGAGGGCCAUGUCCGGUUUAAAACUCCAGGUGACACCAAGACUGUGAUAGAGUCUCGUGCUGAGAUUCAGAAGAAACACCACUGGAAACUGGACAUCCUGUCUGCUGAGCGGUGGUGUAAAUAAUGCAUGUUGUCUAAAUACAAAAACAUAACUAUUGCAUGUUGAUGAUUUUUUUUUUUUUUUUUUUUUUUUUUUUUUUUUUAAAUAAAAUGUUUUACAAACUUCAGUUUUAGUUUUGGUGUGACUUGAAAAACGACUUGACCAGCAUUUGGAAUAAGGGAAACAGUGCAGCCUCAAAAAUGAGCCUGGUAUAGCAUAAAUAUUCUGGUAAUAUUUCGAUCAUUAGCAAUGUUUUACAAAACAAGUGUAACACUGCCAACUACCAACUAACAUUCCCCUUGAAGGGUCUUUGAUAUUAUCCUUUGAGAAGUCAUGGAAGAUUCUCCUGAAUUUUAUGGGGGGGUAUGAACCGUAAUCUAGUAAUAAUUAUGUUUAAAGUUAAUUCUGUUGUUUUUUCUUAAAGGAAUGUGUUAGUUACUGAAAUGUUUUAGAUCAUUUGUACUUCAUACAUAAACAAUUAAGGUGAUAAUGAACAAAGGUACUGGCAGAAGAUUUUGGUGGACAGACAAGCAAAGCUCAAUCGUCCAAGGAACAAAAAAUGAGGCACAGAAGAGGUGAAAGAAAAUGCUUGCUUGUGACAAAAUACAUAAAGAAAACUAACAGCACUUUUGGCUAAUUUUUGUUUUUCUUUUUUUGUCUUUUAAGCUGAUUGCAAAAACUGAGAAAGUAAUUGUGGCUAGAACAAAACAGGCAAGCAAGCACAAACGUUUCGAUUAAGCUUCAAGAUUAUUACUUUCUAUUGAAAGGGUUACAUUGUUUUGUUUUUUGUAAUUAACAAAAUGCAGAUUAUUUUUUUUUUUGUUUGUUCUGUAGAAUCAAAACCGUGUCCAUGUUUAUGACCUGAUUCCUUGUGAAUUCCUGUGAUUUUUUUAAAUGUAAAUAAUGUAUAGAUAAACCCUCUUACAGUGCUUGAUUGCUGUUGUGGUCAGAUCCAGUAUGAAAGGAUUCUGAUUUCUUAAAUGAUGGAGAUUACUUUUUAUUUAGCAGAAUGUUUGUGUAAAGUAUAAGUUUUUUUUUUUUUUUAUAUGUAUAAAGCUUUGGUGUAUAUCAGAGCCUAAUGUGAAACAGGAAAAUAAUGUCACACUGUUGGUAUUGGAUAAUACACAUGCUGUUUCUCCAUUUCAUACUUUUUAUGAGCUGGUUUUGACACAAUUUAUUUUUUGGGUUAAAAACUUAAUAAAACAUCUUCAGCUCA